RNAcentral lists this ribosomal RNA (465 nucleotides) under uncultured Klebsiella sp. Its description in RNAcentral is "bacterial SSU rRNA". It matches the Rfam family "Bacterial small subunit ribosomal RNA", at positions 338 to 795 of the family's 1533-position model. Lineage: Bacteria; Pseudomonadati; Pseudomonadota; Gammaproteobacteria; Enterobacterales; Enterobacteriaceae. The record is from RNAcentral.
CCUACGGGAGGCUGCAGUGGGGAAUAUUGCACAAUGGGCGCAAGCCUGAUGCAGCAAUGCCGCGUGUGUGAAGAAGGCCUUCGGGUUGUAAAGCACUUUCAGCGGGGAGGAAGGCGGUGAGGUUAAUAACCUCCCCGCUUGACGUUACCCACAGAAAAAGCACCGGCUAACUCCGUGCCAGCAGCCGCGGUAAUACGGAGGGUGCAAGCGUUAAUCGGAAUUACUGGGCGUAAAGCGCACGCAGGCGGUCUGUCAAGUCGGAUGUGAAAUCCCCGGGCUCAACCUGGGAACUGCAUUCGAAACUGGCAGGCUAGAGUCUUGUAGAGGGGGGUAGAAUUCCAGGUGUAGCGGUGAAAUGCGUAGAGAUCUGGAGGAAUACCGGUGGCGAAGGCGGCCCCCUGGACAAAGACUGACGCUCAGGUGCGAAAGCGUGGGGAGCAAACAGGAUUAGAUACCCGAGUAGUC